AUUGGGAAACAUCGAAAGAGUAACGCUGUUUUCAAGUUCCUUCCAUGUUUUUCACUUUGUUUUCACUCACCUUUCCCACACUCUAUUCUCUAUUUCUCUCCAUCUCAAUAAUUCCCCUUUACCAUCUCUUCUUUGAUUUCUUUCAUCUUGCGUCUCUUCUUUUCAUACACCUUUCAAUUUUAACCUUAUCUGCAAUAAUGGGAUCCAAUCUUUGUCAAAAAGCUUCUUCCUUUUCUUCUGGAAAUGGUCCAAACAUGGUACACAUUUUCUUCUUUUCUUAUUGUAAUUUCACUGAUAAUUCACAAGUUGUAUGGUUGCAGAUAACUCUUACAGGAUUUAUGUUCUUACUACUGUCAGCAUUUCUUGGCAAUGUAAGUGGAACUUGAGUACAUUAAUCUUCCUACUCCGUAAACCAUAUGUCAUAAUAGUAAUACUCGGAUGCCCUGAUAUUUCUUUUAAAAAAAUAAUAGUGAGUCUUCUAAUGCAUAUAUUGUUGGGAAAAAUGUAUGCCCAAG
RNAcentral lists this long non-coding RNA (515 nucleotides) under Lupinus mutabilis. Its description in RNAcentral is "partial ncRNA". Lineage: Eukaryota; Viridiplantae; Streptophyta; Magnoliopsida; Fabales; Fabaceae. The record is from RNAcentral.